GUUUAAAUACCUUAUAAAUGGAUUUAGUGGAAUCCUAUGAUGCUAAAUAGAUGAUUGUUGCUUAAAUCAUGGAUCAAUUUAAUGAUUUCUUGCAAUAGGUGAAACCUAGGGUCCAAAAUGCUAAUUUUCAAAAUAUGAGGGUUUGAUCUAAUUUGACCAUCCGUAAACCUAAUUGCUAGGUAACGAAACGCGUUGGCGAAGACGGUUCGGCAAUCCGACGAGCCGUUGCGAAGUUAUUAAAGAAACGGACGUUUAGGCUUCGGGUCCGCCGGGAGGGCCGAGGCGACGUCGUAAAAUCAUGGAAAUGGAUUUGAGGCAUCGUGUUAGCGUGGCGAAGAGCUUCUACACUUGAAACAGCGAAGCGGCGCGCUCUUGGACCGCAAUUGUGAGAUCGGGCCAAACCGGGUGCCGGGUGCCGCGGGCGGCCGAUUGCAAGUGUCGACAAGCAAUCGGAACGCGUGUUAAGGUUCGUACGUGAGCAGCGCGGCGGCGUGAGGAAAGGGCGUAGCUCCGUAGAUAGCGCCCUACCCCGGAGACCAGAGCUAGCAGUACCCGUCUACAAAGCUUAGGGGUAAAGGAAAUGAAAAGAAAGCGAAUGUAUCAAAUUGUAAUAAGUAAACGAUGUACUACUUAGAUUGUAUUUGGAAGUUAAAGCAAUUGAGAAUUGAGAUGUAAAAUGCGUGAA
Ananas comosus (pineapple) is the source of this 685-nucleotide long non-coding RNA. RefSeq lists it as uncharacterized. The record is from RefSeq and is a predicted model, not a curated record. The transcript is spliced from 2 exons. NCBI's taxonomy places the organism in Eukaryota, Viridiplantae, Streptophyta, Magnoliopsida, Poales, Bromeliaceae.